CAUAGGGUGCAAGCGUUAGUCGGAAUUACUGGGCGUAAAGCGUGCGCAGGCGGUUUUAUAAGUCUGAUGUGAAAUCCCCGGGCUCAACCUGGGAACUGCAUUGGAGACUGUAAGGCUAGAGUGUGUCAGAGGGGGGUAGAAUUCCACGUGUAGCAGUGAAAUGCGUAGAUAUGUGGAGGAAUACCGAUGGCGAAGGCAGCCCCCUGGGAUAACACUGACGCUCAUGCACGAAAGCGUGGGGAGCAAACAGGAUUAGAUACCCUGGUAGUCCACGCCCUAAACGAUGUCUACUAGUUGUCGGGUCUUAAUUGACUUGGUAACGCAGCUAACGCGUGAAGUAGACCGCCUGGGGAGUACGGUCGCAAGAUUA
This 370-nucleotide ribosomal RNA is filed under the name uncultured organism. Its description in RNAcentral is "bacterial SSU rRNA". It matches the Rfam family "Bacterial small subunit ribosomal RNA", at positions 526 to 896 of the family's 1533-position model. The record is from RNAcentral.